RNAcentral lists this ribosomal RNA (521 nucleotides) under Bacillus sp. SL-3. Its description in RNAcentral is "bacterial SSU rRNA". It matches the Rfam family "Bacterial small subunit ribosomal RNA", at positions 340 to 851 of the family's 1533-position model. Lineage: Bacteria; Bacillati; Bacillota; Bacilli; Caryophanales; Bacillaceae. The record is from RNAcentral.
UACGGGAGGCAGCAGUAGGGAAUCUUCCGCAAUGGACGAAAGUCUGACGGAGCAACGCCGCGUGAGUGAUGAAGGCUUUCGGGUCGUAAAACUCUGUUGUUAGGGAAGAACAAGUGCUAGUUGAAUAAGCUGGCACCUUGACGGUACCUAACCAGAAAGCCACGGCUAACUACGUGCCAGCAGCCGCGGUAAUACGUAGGUGGCAAGCGUUAUCCGGAAUUAUUGGGCGUAAAGCGCGCGCAGGUGGUUUCUUAAGUCUGAUGUGAAAGCCCACGGCUCAACCGUGGAGGGUCAUUGGAAACUGGGAGACUUGAGUGCAGAAGAGGAAAGUGGAAUUCCAUGUGUAGCGGUGAAAUGCGUAGAGAUAUGGAGGAACACCAGUGGCGAAGGCGACUUUCUGGUCUGUAACUGACACUGAGGCGCGAAAGCGUGGGGAGCAAACAGGAUUAGAUACCCUGGUAGUCCACGCCGUAAACGAUGAGUGCUAAGUGUUAGAGGGUUUCCGCCCUUUAGUGCUGAAG